Molecule: transfer RNA, 88 nt
Filed under: Alistipes communis
Lineage: Bacteria; Pseudomonadati; Bacteroidota; Bacteroidia; Bacteroidales; Rikenellaceae
Description: tRNA-Arg
Source: RNAcentral
CGCCCGUCAGGCGGGUGACGAUUCCCUGCUGCGUGCGGCGCGGCAGGCAGCGCACGCGGCCGCCGCGGUUCCAGACCUCGACGGUCGU